AAGUCGUAACAAGGUAACCGUAGGUGAACCUGCGGUUGGAUCAUUACCAAAAUCCAAAAUAGAUUGGAACGCUUGAAGGGCGCGGGCCCAAAAGCCCAGACCCUUCUCGCUACCAAUUUACACCCACCUGUGAACCAAAACCUGUCUUUUGGCAGACGUCGCGGGGGCUAUGCUAAGGAUAUUCUCCUUCGGCUGGUUCCCGAGAGCCCUCCCGCGGGUUAGCCCGAUGGGGGUCGAGCAUGCAGGCUUACGCUUGCUGCUUAGCGUCUGCCAGCAAAAGAUACACACCGUGUGCUUUUUGAACCAAGCUGUCUUACAUUUACAAGAGCAAAACGAGAAACAACUUUAGACAACGGAUCUCUUGGCUCUC
This 370-nucleotide unclassified non-coding RNA is filed under the name fungal sp. Its description in RNAcentral is "partial internal transcribed spacer region". The stretch from base 1 to 46 matches the Rfam family "Eukaryotic small subunit ribosomal RNA", at positions 1786 to 1831 of the family's 1831-position model. The record is from RNAcentral. Lineage: Eukaryota; Fungi.